RNAcentral lists this ribosomal RNA (253 nucleotides) under uncultured bacterium. RNAcentral describes it as "partial 16S ribosomal RNA". It matches the Rfam family "Bacterial small subunit ribosomal RNA", at positions 524 to 776 of the family's 1533-position model. The record is from RNAcentral.
UACGUAGGUGGCAAGCGUUAUCCGGAAUUAUUGGGCGUAAAGGGCUCGUAGGUGGCCAACUAAGUCAGACGUGAAAUCCCUCGGCUUAACCGGGGAACUGCGUCUGAUACUGGAUGGCUUGAGUUUGGGAGAGGGAUGCGGAAUUCCAGGUGUAGCGGUGAAAUGCGUAGAUAUCUGGAGGAACACCGGUGGCGAAGGCGGCAUCCUGGACCAACACUGACACUGAGGAGCGAAAGCCAGGGGAGCAAACGGG